RNAcentral lists this ribosomal RNA (310 nucleotides) under uncultured bacterium. RNAcentral describes it as "bacterial SSU rRNA". It matches the Rfam family "Bacterial small subunit ribosomal RNA", at positions 28 to 342 of the family's 1533-position model. The record is from RNAcentral.
GACGAACGCUGGCGGCGUGCUUAACACAUGCAAGUCGAGCGGUAAGGCCCUUUGGGGUACACGAGCGGCGAACGGGUGAGUAACACGUGAGUAAUCUGCCUUUGGCUUGGGAAUAACUUCGGGAAAUCGGGGCUAAUGCCUGAUGUUUACUGUCUGCUGCAUGGUGGGUGGUGGAAAGUAUUUUUUGGCCAGGGAUGAGCUCGCGGUCUAUCAGCUUGUUGGUGGGGUAAUGGCACCAAGGCUUUGACGGGUAGCCGGCCUGAGAGGGUGUUCGGCCACACUGGGACUGAGACACGGCCCAGACUCCUAC